AGGGUUUGAUUAUGGCUCAGGAUGAACGCUGGCGGCGUGCUUAACACAUGCAAGUCGAGCGAAGCGCUUAAGCGGAUUUCUUCGGAUUGAAGCUUUUGUGACUGAGCGGCGGACGGGUGAGUAACGCGUGGGGAACCUGCCUCAUACAGGGGGAUAACAGUUAGAAAUGACUGCUAAUACCGCAUAAGCGCACGGAGGCGCAUGCUUCCGUGUGAAAAGCUCCGGCGGUAUGAGAUGGACCCGCGUUAGAUUAGCCAGUUGGCGGGGUAACGGCCCACCAAAGCGACGAUCUAUAGCCGGCCUGAGAGGGCGACCGGCCACAUUGGGACUGAGACACGGCCCAA
Molecule: ribosomal RNA, 344 nt
Filed under: uncultured bacterium
Lineage: Bacteria
Description: bacterial SSU rRNA
Rfam family: Bacterial small subunit ribosomal RNA
Source: RNAcentral